This 663-nucleotide ribosomal RNA is filed under the name uncultured fungus. RNAcentral describes it as "eukaryotic LSU rRNA". It matches the Rfam family "Eukaryotic large subunit ribosomal RNA", at positions 24 to 664 of the family's 3401-position model. The record is from RNAcentral. Lineage: Eukaryota; Fungi.
CCCGCUGAACUUAAGCAUAUCAGUAAGCGGAGGAAAAGAAACUAACAAGGAUUCCCUUAGUAACUGCGAGUGAAGCGGGAAGAGCUCAAAUUUUAAAUCUGGCACCUUUGGUGUCCGAGUUGUAUUCUAGAGAAUCUUCUUCGGACACGGAGCAUGUACAACACUUCGUUAGGAGAGCGUCAUCGAGGAGGAGAACCCUGUCCAUGACGCGGACUCCUGACCGUCAUCAUUAAGCUCUCAAGACGUCGUCGUUGUUUGUGAGAACAGCAUCCCAAUAUGGGAUGGUUCAUUUCUCCUAGUACUAAUUGCCGACAGGAGGCCGGUGGAGAACUAGUGCCGUGAAGGAAUGAUGAGCACUACUGAGAGAGAAGAGUUCAAUACGCGGAGUAGUUGAUAAAAGGGAACCGUAAGUGAUCAGCGAUGUCUAAGCAUGCAUUCAGGAUGUCGCUAGCCGUACUUUUUCAUUACCGUGUCAACGUCAAUACUCGCAGGUGGAAAACCGGAAAAGGCAUGUGGCAACUUGGGCUCUGCUAUAGCCCUCUCCUGCAUACUCCUCCUGAGAUUGAGGCUUGCAGCUGGCCGUCUUGCCCCGCCUUUCUCACUGCGUGACGCCAUGUCCGAGUCUGACAAUAAUGACUUCAACCGACCCGUCUUGAAACACGG